GACGAACGCUGGCGGCGUGCUUAACACAUGCAAGUCGAACGGAAAGUCCCUGCUUGUGUGGGGUGCUCGACUGGCGAACGGGUGAGUAACACGUGAGUAACCUGCAAUUGACUUUGGGAUAACUUCAGGAAACUGGGGCUAAUACCGGCUAGGAGCUCCUGCUGCUUGGUGGGGGUUGGAAAGUUUAGGCGGUUGGGAAUGGACUCGCGGCUUAUCAGCUUGUUGCAUGGGUAGUGGCUUAGCAAGGCAUGGAACCGUAGCAGGCCUGCGCGGGUCACCGGCGACAUUAGGACGGGACUACGGCACAGACUCCACUGGUAGGCAGCAGUGGAGAAUAGUACACAAGGCGAGGAACGAUGAUGCAGUCACGCAGCGCGGGGGAUGACGUGCUUGGGUUUGUAAACUGAUUUCGCUUGUGACGAGACGAGAGUGACGGUACCGGGUGAAGAAGCACCGGCUAACUACGUG
RNAcentral lists this ribosomal RNA (468 nucleotides) under uncultured bacterium. Its description in RNAcentral is "partial 16S ribosomal RNA". It matches the Rfam family "Bacterial small subunit ribosomal RNA", at positions 28 to 507 of the family's 1533-position model. The record is from RNAcentral.